AUGUUGGACUGGGGAGUAUUACCAUGUUGGACUGGGGAGUAUUAUCAUGUUGAACUGGGGACUGGGGAGUAUUACCAUGUUGGACUGGGGAGUAUUACCAUGUUGGACUGGGGAGUAUUACCAUGUUGGACUGGGGGAUAUUACCAUGUUGGACUUGGGAAUGGGGAGUAUUACCAUGUUGGACUGGGUAGUGUUACCAUGUUGGACUGGGGAAUGGGGAGUAUUACCAUGUUGGACUGGGGAGUAUUACCAUGUUGGACUGGGGAGUAUUACCAUGUUGGACUGGGGAGUAUUACCAUGUUGGACUGGGGACUGGGGAGUAUUACCAUGUUGGACUGGGGAGUAUUACCAUGUUUGGACUGGGGAGUAUUACCAUGUUGGACUGGGGAGUAUUACCAUGUUGGACUGGGAGUAUUACCAUGUUGGACUGGGGACUGGGGAGUAUUACCAUGUUGGACUGGGGAAUGGGGAGUAUUAUCAUGUUGGACUGGGGAGUAUUACCAUGUUGGACUGGGGACUGGGGAGUAUUACCAUGUUGGACUGGGGAAUGGGGAGUAUUACCAUGUUGGUCUGGGGACUGGGGAGUAUUACCAUGUUGGACUGGGGAAUGGGGAGUAUUACCAUGUUGGACUGGGGAAUGGGGAGUGGGGAGUAUUACCAUGUUGGACUGGGGAAUGGGGAAUGGGGAGUAUUACCAUGUUGGACUGGGGAAUGGGGAAUGGGGAGUAUUACCAUGUUGGACUGGGGAAUGGGGAAUGGGGAGUAUUACCAUGUUGGACUGGGGAAUGGGGAAUGGGGAGUAUUACCAUGUUGGACUGGGGAAUGGGGAGUAUUACCAUGUUGGACUGGGGAGUGUUACCAUGUUGGAAUGGGGAAUGGGGAGUGUUACCAUGUUGGACUGGGGAAUGGGGAGUAUUACCAUGUUGGACUGGGGAAUGGGGAGUAUUACCAUGUUGGACUGGGGAAUGGGGAAUGGGGAGUAUUACCAUGUUGGACUGGGGAGUAUUACCAUGUUGGACUGGGGAAUGGGGAAUGGGGAGUAUUACCAUGUUGGACUGGGGACUGGGGAAUGGGGAGUAUUACCAUGUUGGACUGGGGAAUGGGGAAUGGGGAGUAUUACCAUGUUGGACUGGGGACUGGGGAGUAUUACCAUGUUGGACUGGGGAGUAUUACCAUGUUGGACUGGGGACUGGGGAAUGGGGAGUAUUACGAUGUUGGACUGGGGACUGGGGAAUGGGGAGUAUUACCAUGUUGGACUGGGGAAUGGGGAAUGGGGAGUAUUACCAUGUUGGACUGGGGACUGGGGAGUGGGGAGUAUUACCAUGUUGGACUGGGGAAUGGGGAGUAUUACCAUGUUGGACUGGGGAGUAUUACCAUGUUGGACUGGGGACUGGGGAGUAUUACCAUGUUGGACUGGGGAGUGUUACCAUGUUGGACUGGGGAAUGGGGAGUAUUACCAUGUUGGACUGGGGAAUGGGGAGUAUUACCAUGUUGGACUGGGGAGUGGGGAGUAUUACCAUGUUGGACUGGGGAAUGGGGAAUGGGGAGUAUUACCAUGUUGGACUGGGGAAUGGGGAAUGGGGAGUAUUACCAUGUUGGACUGGGGAAUGGGGAAUGGGGAGUAUUACCAUGUUGGACUGGGGAAUGGGGAGUGGGGAGUAUUACCAUGUUGGACUGGGGAAUGGGGAAUGGGGAGUAUUACCAUGUUGGACUGGGGAAUGGGGAAUGGGGAGUAUUACCAUGUUGGACUGGGGAAUGGGGAGUAUUACCAUGUUGGAAUGGGGAAUGGGGAGUAUUACCAUGUUGGACUGGGGAAUGGGGAGUAUUACCAUGUUGGACUGGGGAGUAUUACCAUGUUGGACUGGGGAGUAUUACCAUGUUGGACUGGGGAAUGGGGAGUAUUACCAUGUUGGACUGGGGACUGGGGAAUGGGGAGUAUUACCAUGUUGGACUGGGGAAUGGGGAGUAUUACCAUGUUGGACUGGGGAAUGGGGAAUGGGGAGUAUUACCAUGUUGGACUGGGGACUGGGGAAUGGGGAGUAUUACCAUGUUGGACUGGGGACUGGGGAGUAUUACCAUGUUGGACUGGGGAGUAUUACCAUGUUGGACUGGGGAGUAUUACCAUGUUGGACUGGGGAAUGGGGAGUAUUACCAUGUUGGACUGGGGAAUGGGGAAUGGGGAGUAUUACCAUGUUGGACUGGGGACUGGGGAAUGGGGAGUAUUACCAUGUUGGACUGGGGACUGGGGAGUAUUACCAUGUUGGACUGGGGAGUAUUACCAUGUUGGACUGGGGAGUAUUACCAUGUUGGACUGGGGAAUGGGGAGUAUUACCAUGUUGGACUGGGGAAUGGGGAGUAUUACCAUGUUGGACUGGGGAAUGGGGAGUAUUACCAUGUUGGACUGGGGAGUAUUACCAUGUUGGACUGGGGAAUGGGGAGUAUUACCAUGUUGGACUGGGGAGUAUUACCAUGUUGGACUGGGGAAUGGGGAGUAUUACCAUGUUGGACUGGGGAAUGGGGAGUAUUACCAUGUUGGACUGGGGAAUGGGGAGUAUUACCAUGUUGGACUGGGGAAUGGGGAGUAUUACCAUGUUGGACUGGGGAGUAUUAUUACUUAUUUACUGUUUUCUGUUUGUGUUUAUUUUUGUGGUGUGUGUGUGUUGCAGUUAUUCGCAGGUGUUUGAGUGUGUGUGCCGCUUCCUUGGACGUGCGGAGAGAGAGAGACCGAGAGCAGCAGCUGUUAUGAGACUUGGAGCAGCUCAACUCUUCAUUACACACUGUCAACCUCCUGGGUACACACACACACACACACACACACACACACACACACACACACACACACACACACACACACACACACACACACACACACACACACACUGA
Molecule: long non-coding RNA, 2883 nt
Organism: Oncorhynchus kisutch (coho salmon)
Lineage: Eukaryota; Metazoa; Chordata; Actinopteri; Salmoniformes; Salmonidae
Source: Ensembl